RNAcentral lists this ribosomal RNA (817 nucleotides) under Escherichia coli. Its description in RNAcentral is "partial 23S ribosomal RNA". It matches the Rfam family "Bacterial large subunit ribosomal RNA", at positions 2114 to 2925 of the family's 2925-position model. The record is from RNAcentral. Lineage: Bacteria; Pseudomonadati; Pseudomonadota; Gammaproteobacteria; Enterobacterales; Enterobacteriaceae.
ACACUGAACAUUGAGCCUUGAUGUGUAGGAUAGGUGGGAGGCUUUGAAGUGUGGACGCCAGUCUGCAUGGAGCCGACCUUGAAAUACCACCCUUUAAUGUUUGAUGUUCUAACGUGGGCCCCUUACCGGGGUUGCGGACAGUGUCUGGUGGGUAGUUUGACUGGGGCGGUCUCCUCCUAAAGAGUAACGGAGGAGCACGAAGGUUGGCUAAUCCUGGUCGGACAUCAGGAGGUUAGUGCAAUGGCAUAAGCCAGCUUGACUGCGAGCGUGACGGCGCGAGCAGGUGCGAAAGCAGGUCAUAGUGAUCCGGUGGUUCUGAAUGGAAGGGCCAUCGCUCAACGGAUAAAAGGUACUCCGGGGAUAACAGGCUGAUACCGCCCAAGAGUUCAUAUCGACGGCGGUGUUUGGCACCUCGAUGUCGGCUCAUCACAUCCUGGGGCUGAAGUAGGUCCCAAGGGUAUGGCUGUUCGCCAUUUAAAGUGGUACGCGAGCUGGGUUUAGAACGUCGUGAGACAGUUCGGUCCCUAUCUGCCGUGGGCGCUGGAGAACUGAGGGGGGCUGCUCCUAGUACGAGAGGACCGGAGUGGACGCAUCACUGGUGUUCGGGUUGUCAUGCCAAUGGCACUGCCCGGUAGCUAAAUGCGGAAGAGAUAAGUGCUGAAAGCAUCUAAGCACGAAACUUGCCCCGAGAUGAGUUCUCCCUGACUCCUUGAGAGUCCUGAAGGAACGUUGAAGACGACGACGUUGAUAGGCCGGGUGUGUAAGCGCAGCGAUGCGUUGAGCUAACCGGUACUAAUGAACCGUGAGGCUUAACCUU